This 68-nucleotide transfer RNA is filed under the name Tanea lineata. Its description in RNAcentral is "tRNA-Asn". Lineage: Eukaryota; Metazoa; Mollusca; Gastropoda; Littorinimorpha; Naticidae. The record is from RNAcentral.
UAAACAAAAGCCAAAAUAGAGGCGCCUAGCUGUUAAUUAGGAGAUUGUAAGUAUGAUUACUUGUUUAG